CAAUUCAUUGAUGUCCCAUAACCCACAUACAUUUUUACACGUAAGGUCACAUGGCCAAUCACAUAACAUGACUAACAAUUGACUACCAGUGGAGUGACUCUUAGGUGCAGAAGGUAUUAUUGAAUGCCUUGGUCAUUGAGUCUACCAUGUUGUGCACACAAAUCGCUCACAUGUCUAUAUCUCAAGUAGCUUCGAGUCUACAAAACAUGAGAGUUUAAAAAUGUGAGUACAAUUACUCAGUGAGUGAUAUAGAGGGGAACAAGCAACAGCUCUAGAAGGUUUAUAAACCAUGCACAUUUUCCUAAGCAAAUCCAUGAUACAUUUGGAAUUCAACCCAAUAAAAACUUACAUGUAUUAUCUUAAACUCACCCAUUGGUGUCAUUCAUAGGCUUUGGCAUAUUACCUAGCUCGUACCUUACAUACAAAUUUAUACAAUAAUGAACUAUAAUGUGCCAAGAUAUAGUAAAUGGGCAGACUUCUUAGGAAGCUUUUAAAUAUUACCUGACCUAUCUCUAUAUCUCA
RNAcentral lists this long non-coding RNA (522 nucleotides) under Theobroma cacao (cacao). RNAcentral's name for it is "long non-coding RNA (TCAC_LNC002854)". Lineage: Eukaryota; Viridiplantae; Streptophyta; Magnoliopsida; Malvales; Malvaceae. The record is from RNAcentral.